Long non-coding RNA from Myotis myotis, 2603 nucleotides. RefSeq lists it as uncharacterized. Lineage: Eukaryota; Metazoa; Chordata; Mammalia; Chiroptera; Vespertilionidae. The transcript has 6 exons. The record is from RefSeq and is a predicted model, not a curated record.
GCCCCUGCCCGCCCGGGAGAGGCCGGGAGGAGUGGAACCGGUUCUGGGGCCUUCGGAGGCUUUGGCGGAGCAGGGCGGGGCGAUACUCGGAACCGGCCUGUCGCAAACACCCGCCUCCGCCCCGGCCGGUCCCAGGGCCUCCACACUGUGCACUGCAUUGCCACCUAGGACCUCUGAGGAACUAGAUAUUUACAUUCGGAAGGUUGAGAACCACUGCUAGAUUCUAGAGUCUGGGAAGCUGAAGAGGAGAGGAUGCCAGCGCUGUGAGUAGGGGCCAUCCUACCGCCGAGAAGAGGAGGAGGGCGAGGCCCGGCUGCUGCUCCUCCCGCCAAGUUAACACGUUCAGCAAAGGCCAGAGGGUACGUUAGGUCAAAAUACAUGUGACCUCAAUGAAUUAUUCAGCUUUAUUAAAGUACUAGAGGCCCUCGCAGCCCUGGCUUCAUCCGGAAGGUCAUCUGGAAGGACAUCCAGAAGGUGGUGCUAGUCCUCGCUCUUGAAACCUUUGUAACUAUUAAGGCUGAAGUGCCAUUUAAAGAAAAAAGAAGGCAAAGAAAUGAGCUGCGAGAGCCAUGCCCCAGCCUCUUCAGUAGCUGGCCGAAGAGAUAAGGUCCCCUGAGGUCAGAGGUGGUGCCCAGGGACAUAGGCACCAGGCCUGGGGGCAAGUGGGCUUGAAAAACAAAAGUAAGUGUUAUACAGCAUGGUGAAUAUAGUUAAUAAUACUGUACUGCAUAUUUGAAAGUUGUUAAGAGAUUAGAUCUAAAAGGUCUCAUCACAAGAGAAAAUAAUUUUUUUGUAACUAUGUGUGGUGAGGGAUGUUAACUAGAAUAUCAUGGUGAUCAUUCUACAAUGUAUACAAAUAUUGAAUCAUUAUGUUUAUGCCUAAAACUAAUAUAAUGUUUUAUGUCAAUUACACUUCAGUUUAAGAAUUUUUUUAAGUGCUUUUGCAAAGGACCUAUGCUUAUAUGCAGCACUUUGUCAUCUCCUCUCAUACCAUGUCACUUAGCAGCUAUUAAUUCUGAGUAAGGGGAAGUGGAGGGGAAUUAAAGGCACAAAUGAAGUGAAUAUUUUGAAGCCCACGAUGUAGGAGAUGUCCAGUUCCACAUGACGCUCCCAGUGCUAAGUAGCAGCAACAGCCAGACACAAAAGUAUUUUGCUCCACAUCAUUAGACAUCAAUUAUAUGUUGAGAACAUGUAUUCAUGCUACAGGAAGAGUGGCUUUUGCAGACCUCACAGUGCUUACAAGUUACUGUGAGGUGCUUACAAAUACAUAUUUCAGUGAGAUUUUUCCAUGAUUAGACUCAACGCAUUGAAAAAACAAACAGAAGAAGAGAAACAGGUUGUUCUAAAAGCUGUUUUACUUAUUCCUCUGACUUUCCUAUUUGAUCGUUUUCUUGCAAACUCCUUUGUAGGUUAAAGUUUCUUUUAGUAGCAGUGCCUUGGUAGAAGCUGCUUUUCAAUAAGAAGGAGGGAUUAAACUGCCCUCUUCCUAAUUGCUUUCUGAAGCCCUCCCUUCUUCCUAAUCUCACUGUAGUUUCUUAAGAAAUGAGGCACUUACAUAUCCCAAGGGGUUAAAUGGAGAUUUCUGCUGCAGAGGGUAAAGUAGGGAGUUUGCUGCAUUAAUCAUUGAAUAACAUCAAUCACACAUCCAGUUGGGCAGUUAAAUUUCUGUUGAACAAAGUACAGGAGUACCUGGGGAAUGUCUCCCUCUUUGUAAGUGGUGUCAUUAGACAUCUGUCGUGAAGGCCUUGGGAAAAUAGAUUUGGGCCUGCAAACAAAGUCAUUUUAAUGCUGACACAAUGCUAGGCACAUAAUGAGUAAUAUUCUGUAAAAAUUAUUGAGUAAAAAAGAAUUCCAAAAUAAAUUAUUGUACCAGUUCCCUAGCCAGAUUGUUAAUUAUCUUUUAUCCAAACUUGUGUACUCACUGUAGCAAGAAUUGUAUUCCUUAAGCAUUAUUUUGAUUUUUCAUACUCAUUUUCAGAAACUACAAUAGGUUCAAACUUUUGCUCACAUAAAAUCUAUAUUGCCUGAUCCAUGUUGAAAGUUUUUCUAAUAACUGGUUCCCUUCUCCCUAAUUUCUCUUUUCUAAAAAUUAUUGUACAUUCAUAUCGUCUUUACUAGCCUAGAACACAUGUGAAUCUGCCUCAGAAUUUGCUUUUUAUAUCCAAAUGCUACUUUUGCCCCCUACAGUGCCCCCUCCCUCGCCUGUACCAUUCCAGAUCAGUCCCCUGUGCUCUUCCUGCCAUUUGUCAAUCCAGCCAGUUUGCAGAAUGUAAGCACAGAGAGUGUAUUUACAGUAAUAACAUAUAGAGUUUUAUUCCUGUUUUGCACGCCAAUUCAAUGAAGUCUUAAUUACCUUUAGUGGAAUAUAAGUACAUUGGAGGCAAAGGCCUUUACAACUUUCUCAUGCUCACCAACAUGAUUAACAUUAACAGGAUGCUUCAUGACCUAGUUAGUUUCAAGGGUAUGAUAACAUCUCAGAAAAGAUCAAAGUGACUUCAUUUAAAAUUUAAAAAAUAUAUAUCAUAUUGAUGGGUCAUAUCAAUAUAUUGUGUUAAUAAUGAAAAAGUGUCAAAUAUUUGCAAAUAAAUAUAAAAUUAUAAUGA